CCUACGGGGGGCAGCAGUGAGGAAUAUUGGUCAAUGGACGAGAGUCUGAACCAGCCAAGUAGCGUGAAGGAUGACUGCCCUAGGGGUUGUAAACUUCUUUUAUAAAGGAAUAAAACGAGGCACGUGUGCCUUUUUGCAUGUACUUUAUGAAUAAGGAUCGGCUAACUCCGUGCCAGCAGCCGCGGUAAUACGGAGGAUCCGAGCGUUAUCCGGAUUUGUUGGGUUUAAAGGGAGCGUAGAUGGGUUGUUAAGUCAGUUGUGAAAGUUUGCGGCUUAACCGUAAAAUUGCAAUUGAUACUGGCAGUCUUGAGUACAGUAGAGGUAGGCGGAAUUCGUUGUGUAGCGGUGAAAUGCUUAGAUAUCACGAAGAACCCCGAUUGCGAAGGCAGCUUACUAAACUGUGACUGACACUGAUGCGCGAAAGUGUGGGUAGCAAACAGGAUUAGAUACCCGUGUAGUC
Molecule: ribosomal RNA, 460 nt
Filed under: uncultured bacterium
Lineage: Bacteria
Description: partial 16S ribosomal RNA
Rfam family: Bacterial small subunit ribosomal RNA
Source: RNAcentral